This 501-nucleotide ribosomal RNA is filed under the name uncultured bacterium. RNAcentral describes it as "partial 16S ribosomal RNA". It matches the Rfam family "Bacterial small subunit ribosomal RNA", at positions 30 to 523 of the family's 1533-position model. The record is from RNAcentral.
AUUGAACGCUGGCGGCAUGCCUUACACAUGCAAGUCGAACGGCAGCACGGGUGCUUGCACCUGGUGGCGAGUGGCGAACGGGUGAGUAAUAUAUCGGAACGUACCUUAUUGUGGGGGAUAACGCAGCGAAAGCUGUGCUAAUACCGCAUAAUCCCUAAGGGGGAAAGCGGGGGACCGUAAGGCCUCGCGCAAUUAGAGCGGCCGAUACCUGAUUAGCUAGUUGGUGAGGUAAAGGCUCACCAAGGCAACGAUCGGUAGCUGGUCUGAGAGGACGAUCAGCCACACUGGGACUGAGACACGGCCCAGACUCCUACGGGAGGCAGCAGUGGGGAAUUUUGGACAAUGGGGGCAGCCCUGAUCCAGCAAUGCCGCGUGAGUGAAGAAGGCCUUCGGGUUGUAAAGCUCUUUUGUCAGGGAAGAAACAGCAGCUCUAACACAGUAUGCGAAUGACGGUACCUGAAGAAUAAGCACCGGCUAACUACGUGCCAGCCGCCGCAGUAA